GGGUUGUGAGGUUAAGCGACUAAGCGUACACGGUGGAUGCCCUGGCAGUCAGAGGCGAUGAAGGACGUGCUAAUCUGCGAUAAGCGCCGGUAAGGUGAUAUGAACCGUUAUAACCGGCGAUUUCCGAAUGGGGAAACCCAGUGUGAUUCGUCACACUAUCAUUAACUGAAUCCAUAGGUUAAUGAGGCGAACCGGGGGAACUGAAACAUCUAAGUACCCCGAGGAAAAGAAAUCAACCGAGAUUCCCCCAGUAGCGGCGAGCGAACGGGGAGGAGCCCAGAGCCUGAAUCAGCAUGUGUGUUAGUGGAAGCGUCUGGAAAGGCGCGCGAUACAGGGUGACAGCCCCGUACACAAAAGCGCAUGUGCUGUGAGCUCGAUGAGUAGGGCGGGACACGUGGUAUCCUGUCUGAAUAUGGGGGGACCAUCCUCCAAGGCUAAAUACUCCUGACUGACCGAUAGUGAACCAGUACCGUGAGGGAAAGGCGAAAAGAACCCCGGCGAGGGGAGUGAAAAAGAACCUGAAACCGUGUACGUACAAGCAGUGGGAGCACAGGUUUACCUGUGUGACUGCGUACCUUUUGUAUAAUGGGUCAGCGACUUAUAUUCUGUAGCAAGGUUAACCGUAUAGGGGAGCCGGAGGGAAACCGAGUCUUAACCGGGCGUUAAGUUGCAGGGUAUAGACCCGAAACCCGGUGAUCUAGCCAUGGGCAGGUUGAAGGUUGGGUAACACUAACUGGAGGACCGAACCGACUAAUGUUGAAAAAUUAGCGGAUGACCUGUGGCUGGGGGUGAAAGGCCAAUCAAACCGGGAGAUAGCUGGUUCUCCCCGAAAGCUAUUUAGGUAGCGCCUCGUGAAUUCAUCUCCGGGGGUAGAGCACUGUUUCGGCUAGGGGGCCAUCCCGGCUUACCAACCCGAUGCAAACUGCGAAUACCGGAGAAUGUUAUCACGGGAGACACACGGCGGGUGCUAACGUCCGUCGUGAAGAGGGAAACAACCCAGACCGCCAGCUAAGGUCCCAAAGUCAUGGUUAAGUGGGAAACGAUGUGGGAAGGCCCAGACAGCCAGGAUGUUGGCUUAGAAGCAGCCAUCAUUUAAAGAAAGCGUAAUAGCUCACUGGUCGAGUCGGCCUGCGCGGAAGAUGUAACGGGGCUAAACCAUGCACCGAAGCUGCGGCAGCGACACUCAGGUGUUGUUGGGUAGGGGAGCGUUCUGUAAGCCUGUGAAGGUGGCCUGUGAGGGUUGCUGGAGGUAUCAGAAGUGCGAAUGCUGACAUAAGUAACGAUAAAGCGGGUGAAAAGCCCGCUCGCCGGAAGACCAAGGGUUCCUGUCCAACGUUAAUCGGGGCAGGGUGAGUCGACCCCUAAGGCGAGGCCGAAAGGCGUAGUCGAUGGGAAACGGGUUAAUAUUCCCGUACUUGGUGUUACUGCGAAGG
Molecule: ribosomal RNA, 1433 nt
Filed under: Salmonella enterica subsp. enterica serovar Paratyphi A str. SA19950809
Lineage: Bacteria; Pseudomonadati; Pseudomonadota; Gammaproteobacteria; Enterobacterales; Enterobacteriaceae
Description: bacterial LSU rRNA
Rfam family: Bacterial large subunit ribosomal RNA
Source: RNAcentral